RNAcentral lists this ribosomal RNA (253 nucleotides) under uncultured bacterium. RNAcentral describes it as "partial 16S ribosomal RNA". It matches the Rfam family "Bacterial small subunit ribosomal RNA", at positions 524 to 776 of the family's 1533-position model. The record is from RNAcentral.
UACGUAGGUGGCAAGCGUUGUCCGGAUUUACUGGGCGUAAAGCGUGCGCAGGCGGUUUUGUAAGCCAGAUGUGAAAUCCCCGGGCUUAACCUGGGAAUGGCAUUUGGGACUGCAAGGCUUGAGUGCGGCAGAGGAGACUGGAAUUCCUGGUGUAGCAGUGAAAUGCGUAGAUAUCAGGAGGAAUACCGAUGGCGAAGGCAGGUCUCUGGGCUGACACUGACGCUCAUGCACGAAAGCGUGGGGAGCAAACAGG